UACGUAGGGUGCAAGCGUUAAUCGGAAUUACUGGGCGUAAAGCGUGCGCAGGCGGUUUUGUAAGUCUGUUGUGAAAUCCCCGGGCUUAACCUGGGAAUGGCAAUGGAGACUGCAAGGCUAGAGUUUGGCAGAGGGGGGUAGAAUUCCACGUGUAGCAGUGAAAUGCGUAGAGAUGUGGAGGAACACCGAUGGCGAAGGCAGCCCCCUGGGUCAAAACUGACGCUCAUGCACGAAAGCGUGGGGGGCAAACAGG
Molecule: ribosomal RNA, 253 nt
Filed under: uncultured bacterium
Lineage: Bacteria
Description: partial 16S ribosomal RNA
Rfam family: Bacterial small subunit ribosomal RNA
Source: RNAcentral